GGAGAGGUGCUAGAGUGGUCGAAUAGGGCACACUCGAAAUGUGCUGUUGGGGGAUUCCUCAACCGUGGGUUCAAAUCCCACCCUCUCCG
RNAcentral lists this transfer RNA (89 nucleotides) under candidate division WS6 bacterium RIFOXYC1_FULL_33_9. RNAcentral's name for it is "tRNA-Ser". It matches the Rfam family "tRNA". From Rfam's summary of the family: Transfer RNA (tRNA) molecules are approximately 80 nucleotides in length. Their secondary structure includes four short double-helical elements and three loops (D, anti-codon, and T loops). Further hydrogen bonds mediate the characteristic L-shaped molecular structure. tRNAs have two regions of fundamental functional importance: the anti-codon, which is responsible for specific mRNA codon recognition, and the 3' end, to which the tRNAs corresponding amino acid is attached (by aminoacyl-tRNA synthetases). tRNAs cope with the degeneracy of the genetic code in two manners: having more than one tRNA (with a specific anti-codon) for a particular amino acid; and 'wobble' base-pairing, i.e. permitting non-standard base-pairing at the 3rd anti-codon position. The record is from RNAcentral. RNAcentral also lists the same sequence under 2 other names.